Molecule: long non-coding RNA, 4009 nt
Organism: Choloepus didactylus (southern two-toed sloth)
Lineage: Eukaryota; Metazoa; Chordata; Mammalia; Pilosa; Megalonychidae
Exons: 4
Source: RefSeq, a predicted model, not a curated record
UGAGGGGAGCUGUGGGUGCACAGCACAGGACAGAUGGAGUGGGUGGGACAUGACAGUUUUCGUCUGUGGCAUCAUUUUGUUGUUGCUAUUGCGAGUGAGCAAAAUAAAGCUACUGCUACCGUGAUCAUUUCUUUUGGACCCCCCCAGAUAAGGUGUGUUGCUUCUCCCUCACGCUAGGCCCUGCUGCUUGGGCAUGUAGACACCCUCUUUCCUAUGUAACAAACAUUGUUAGUCAGCUUGGGAGCACUUUAAUAUUUACAAUUGCACUCAUAUAGAAUUUCACCAGUCUUUUGUAUAAAAACAGAAUGAAACGUACUCCUCUUCGUAAGCAGACUAUUUUGACAUGAAUUAAUGGUCUGUCCUCUCUGAGAUCUCAUAUCGUAAACCCAAACACGUGAAACUCUAGAUGCAAAAGGGAAUUAAUUUUUUUUCAAGAGGAGGGAAAUUUUUUUUUUUGGUACCAGUCAAAAAUUCUACUCAAAUUCAAGGGGAAUUGCUUUAAACUGUCAAAAAUUAUGAUUUGCAAGUUUCAGUUUUUAUCUUGGAAUGGUCCUAAUUUACACAUAAGUAUUGUAGGAGUUCACUAUUGUAAAGGUUCCUGUUGAAGAAUAAAGCCUUUACCACAGAAAAUCACUGUCAGAUGGCAUACACAGACAUUCUGAGAAAAAGUUAAAACUUUAAGAAGACGAAAAAGGGGAAUUCAGGACAGCAUGUGGGAGGGAAGAUGGGAGUUCUUUUUAUGCACAAAAAGAUCCAUUAACAAUAUCUUUAUCAGCUUCCUUCUUCCUUGUUAAGUGAACCAACUUGCAGUGCCCAGAAUAUGGAAACGUGAUUGCAAAUAAAUGAUUUUGGGGGAAAAGGAGCGAGUACAUAAGAGAAUCGCUGGUAGUUAAUUCAUGGCAAGACAAGAUUUGCCUGCAGAAAAAUAUCAACAAAACCUUUGCCUCAAACUAGCGCAUCUAUUAUGGUGAGGCAAGACAGUCCCCAAAAGUACGUUGGCAGCUGGAGUCAAACGCCCCAAGAUUAGUUUCCUAGAGCUGACAUAACAAGGUACCACAAAUUGGGUAGCUUGAAAACAACAGAAAUUUAUUGCCUCUGAGUUCUGGAGGCUAGAAGUCUGCAAUCACGGGGUCAGCAGGGCCACACUCCCUCAUGAAACUUGCAGGGUAGACCCUUCCUUGCCUCUUCCUAGCCUCUGGUGAUUUGCCGGCAAUCCCUGGCUUACCUUGGCUUGCAGCUGCAGCAUUUCAGUCUCUGCCCCUCCUGUCCCACGACCAGUGUCUCUCAUGUCUGUCUGUGGCCAAAUUUCCUUCUUUUUAUAAAGACACCAGUUAUUAUUGGACUCAGGCCCACUCUAGUCCACUUUGUCUUCAUCUUUAAUCACAUGUUCAAAGAUCCUAUUUCAAAUAAGGUCAUCUUCAUGGGGCCAGGGGCUAGGACUUGAACAUGUCUUUUGGGGGAUGCAAUUCAACCCGUAACAACCCUCGUCCUUUAUUCUUCUGCAGCUAUGAAUCCACUUAAGCCUUGAGACCAGUGCGUUCUUGUGGUUAGGGCAUUUGGUAUUCAAGUCAUUUCCAUAUCACUGUUAUUUUCCUAAUUAGACUAUAAGCUUUAUCAGGGAGGGAUUGUGUCUGUUAACAGAGUUCUGUAAAAGGCAGUGCUUCACAAAUGUGCCUUGUUGACAUACCAGCGCUUUGGGGAUCAUGGAUAUAGGAAGGCAUUGAGGGGGGAGUGUGGGCUUUGGAAGCAGCCCAUCUGCACUUGAAGUCAGGCUCCCCCCAGCUACAUCACUCUAACCAAGUUACUUUAACGUAUCCAAGCCUUAGUUUCCACCUCUGUAAAAAUGGGAUGACCAACAAUAGCAUCUACUUUCAUUAUAGGGGUUGGGGGGAGGGAAUUAAAAGAGAUAGUCCUUUGUAAAGCAUGUAGACAGUGCCUGGAAGGUAAUUAACUAGCCCUACUUUCCUAGGAGGCACUUUUUGGACUUUCCCAACCCCUGAUCCCUGAGGUGUUGCCAAAAUACAAUGGCAAAUAUAGUGUUAAAAUGUUUGUGGGUGGGUGAGGAAUGAGGGAAAGGGGUAGAUACUCUUUUAAAGCCAAGUAAUGCAGUGUUAUAUUGGAGGUGGGGCAGUUAAUAAUAGGAAAUAGGGAGAAAUCUGACAUAUUACACACCUGUAAAAUGGAGUAAACAGAUGGGGAGGGGUUGAGGAAACUGCCUGGGGCUGCAAUCCACCACCAUCUACUUAACAGAGCUAUAAAUAAAUGUUUCAGAAAAAAAAAAAAAGAGGAUACACGGAGGGUAAAGAUGCCCACUGUAUAUCUAAUUCAAAGAGAGUUAUCUCUUUUAUAUUUAUUUAUCUCACCAGAAUUUCUCCAUAAUUCUAUAUAGUUACAGGCAUUAUAGAAAUGGAAGAUACAGCAAGUUCUUGCCAUUCACUCACACAGACAUUCACAUGCACACACACAUACUCAAAUUAGAACAUCUCUAUCCUUAAAUCAAUGCAAAGAUCACAAUACUAGCCUGGCCUAUAUAGAAACACAUUGUAGAACCUGUUAUUUAUAGUCAUGUGUACAUGUUAUUACUCAUUUCUAAGCAUCCUGAUACAAAGAUGAUGUUCCUUUGAGUCUGGAAUAAAGUACCCCUAUUCUUUCUUUGUUGUCUGAUGCAGUUGUGUUUAUGCCCCAAAUGAAUUUUGAUGGGCUGAGACCAAGAUAACAAUGUUCAGCUAUAUGCUUUGCAUAUUUAUAUAUAAACAAAAAAGUGCAGAUGUGUACACUCAUGUAUAUCCAAAAUUGCAUUUUCCAUAAGCCAACUUUUCCUUCACAGUGAAAGUUCAUACCUGUUAAGUGUAGUGAAGUCUCUUGGUAAUCAAUCCAAUAGCUGUUAACCCUUUCAUUUUUAGCAAUAAAACCCCCCAAUUAAAACUAAAUUUCCCAGCUUCCCUUGCAGCUAGGUGUAUCCAUAUUAAAAGUUCUGGGCAAUGAAAUAUCAGUAGAGGUGUUUUGUGGCAGUUUAUAGGAAACCCCCUUUCAAAAUAAUUGACAUACAUUUUUAUCUUUUUCUUCUUUGUCCCUUUCUACUGUCUGGACUAUGGGUGUGAUGAUUGGAGCUUGGGCUGGCAUAAUGGACCACAAGGAUGGAAGCUACAGUAUAGGGAUAUUGGAGAGGUAGCCCUACUUUAGGAUUAUUGGAUUUGGGAUUCCUGGGGUCAAAUCUCUCACCAAGUCUGGCACAUAGUAAGCCCUCAAAUAUUUUUUGAAUGAAUAAAUGAUGAAUGACCAGUACCCCAUAGGACUGGGGGAAGAAGAGAGUGAAUUGAGAGAAUUUGGAGUCAUGGUGGUCAUCACCCUCAGUGAGGACGCCUCAGAGCACCCAGUGCUGUAACCCCAGUGUGGUGCUGCCCUGGACCUUGCUGGGACAUUAUACAGUUUAUGCACCAUUUUCUAAAUUCUGAAAAUUUCUGAAUUCCAAAUCACAUCUGGCCCCAAGGAUUUCAGAUCCGGGCUUAGCUGUCUGCAGUGGAUUCCCUGGGAAACAGUCUCCAAAUCAGAGCUGUGCCUGCUGGAAGCUUCCUGGGGAAUGUGGUGGGAUCCACUCCUAUAAAGGAGUGAAGGAAGCAGGGCUGGGCAGAAGGAGAAAUUGAGCUGCAGUGCAGCCUCAGUAGAUGCUUCAGCCAACCCGGACUGGCAGGAUGCUCUAGAACUGGGAGGUCCCUUCAGAGUUAAAUGAACUAAGGCAAGGGGGCUUGGCCAUUACACCCCCACAUCAAUUAGGCAUUGAGGCAGACUGUCCCUGAGGAGGGCUUAAGCUUGGGUGCGGCAGCUCCCUCUGGCUGAGGGAAUUUCUGUGAGCUGAGGGCAGCCACCACUCCAGGGGACUGGGGAAAUGAGUGCCUCUGUCCUGAAUGGGGAAUCUUGGUGGAGAAUCACUACAUCUACUGCAGUUCGAUCCUUGCCCUGCUGGGGACCACUUACUUUGUAUAAUAAAUUUAUUAUAUGCAAACUGUGA